RNAcentral lists this ribosomal RNA (253 nucleotides) under uncultured bacterium. RNAcentral describes it as "partial 16S ribosomal RNA". It matches the Rfam family "Bacterial small subunit ribosomal RNA", at positions 524 to 776 of the family's 1533-position model. The record is from RNAcentral.
UACGGAGGGGGCUAGCGUUGUUCGGAAUUACUGGGCGUAAAGCGCGCGUAGGCGGACCUGCAAGUCGGGGGUGAAAGCCCGAGGCUCAACCUCGGAACUGCCUUCGAUACUGCGGGUCUCGAGUCCGGGAGAGGUGAGUGGAAUUCCUAGUGUAGAGGUGAAAUUCGUAGAUAUUCGGAGGAACACCAGUGGCGAAGGCGGCUCACUGGCUCGAUACUGACGCUGAGGUGCGAAAGCGUGGGGAGCAAACAGG